Non-coding RNA from Zonotrichia albicollis (white-throated sparrow), 1251 nucleotides. Lineage: Eukaryota; Metazoa; Chordata; Aves; Passeriformes; Passerellidae. The record is from RefSeq and is a predicted model, not a curated record.
AUCUGCAGUCCUGACCUGGAAUUUGAACCCUUUAGUGCCUCUCCCUCCUCCCAGAUGGAGAGGAGGCGGAGGAUCUCGAAAUCUUCUGAUUGCCAUCGAUCUGAUUUUGCUGAGCACUGGCCUCGUAUCACAUCUGUGUGUUCCUUGAGAGAUGAUUUCAAUCUGAAAAAACCCCCUGAUCAUGAAGAAAACCCUGAGAGAGUAGUGAUGGAUCCAGCAGCAGCCCUGGGGAGGCCCCACACUGCUGGAGCCACCAGCUUCAUGGAACAUUUUCCUGGAGUCCAAUAGUGAUUUUCUAGACUUAAAAACUGAUCACAUUUCCUUUCCUCCCUCCUUCCCUCCCAAAGGCAUUUUUUGUCAUCUGUGUCCAAAACUUCCAGCAGAAACUCCAUGAUUGGAGCAAUUUGGUCCAAUGCCAUGAGAAGUGACUGCUCCACACACUUUAGGAAGAGCAAAAAGGAGAAAGAAAAGAAGGUGAAGCCCUCUGUGCUGUGCCUGAUCACUCAUCAAAGCCAGCUGCCUCCUGUGCUGGCUUGAGGACAUGACAGAUGUCUGCAGCCUUUACAGGUGCAGGGCCUGCAUUUCAUCAGUCUUUUUCCCAUGGGUGACCUGCAGUGUGGUUUAUUAGCAGCUCAGAUUUCUUUGGCCAAGGUGUUGUGUUGUGUACACAUCCGGGUUAAAGCUAAGCAAUAUUUCUGAUCCAUGUAGGAUUCUGACUCGGUCCUGCAUCUCUGGUGUUUACAAAAUGGUCAGAGCUUGAACUCUCCCUGUUCUGUUUCUUAAAUGUCAGCAGAAACUUUUUCUUUUUUUUAAAAAAUAAAACAAUGCAGCCUUCCCCUGCAAUGUUUGUAACCAAGAAACUGUGGCAUCACAAGAGCAUGAGGAAAUACUGGCUGAUUAAAACCAGGGUAAGAAAUGACAGCGAAAGUGUUUGUCUUUUUUUUUUUUCCUCAUUUCAGAAUUCACAAUGAAGUUGCUGCUAAAAAGGGACCAGCUGGUUCAGCCCCACUUGGGCUGAAUAUGAUGUUUAAUGUGCUGAAACUAUGAAACUACUUCUACUGGCAAACUUUAGUGUGAUAAUUUAAUUUCUCAUGUAAAGCAUAUCUCACAGCAUGACUUUUUCCCCUACCUCUCUCUGUUUUGACAAAGUAAGUUUGGGCUAUUGUUGGUUUGCUUUGUUUUUUGUCUUCUUCCUGCUUCUCAUUAAUAUACAAGUGGUAUUAAAUAGUAAUGAUGCCAGUAUUGACCUCU